GCUCCACCACGGUGAGCGCUGUCCCCGCGGUGUCCCCUGUCACCCCGGGGUGUCCCCCAGGUGUCCCUGUCCCCCCCUAUCCCCAACUGCUCCACCACAGUAAGCACUGUCCCUGGGGUGUCCCCAAGUCACCCUGGGGUGUCCCUGUGCCCCCUGGAGUGCCCCUGUGCCCCCUGGCCCCAACCGCUCCCCCAUGGUGAGCGCUGUCCCCAGGGUGUCCCUGUGUCACCCCAGGGUGUCCCCGUCCCCAACCGCUCCCCCACGGUGAAGCUCUCGUGCGGCACGGAGACGGCGGUGACGGCCACGACGGAGCCGAGCCGCUGCGAGUACCUCAUGGAGCUGCUGACGCCGGCGGCCUGCCGCGAGCCGCCCUCGCGCGAGGACCACGACGAGCUCUGAGCCAGGGCUGAGGCUGUGUGGAUCUGCAGGGUCACGACUUGCUUCGUGCUGCGGUCAAUCGUCCUUCGCGCGCAGCUCAACAAGCAUCGUACACAGAUUAGUAUUGCAGCAAACGGAAAAAUGACAAUAAGCCCCAGAAUCCGUAUGAGUUUCAACCAAGGCCCUACAGCAAGCAGAUUCACCCAAUCAAACAGUCCCCACGAGUUUUCACCAUCCUCUUCUUGCAGCUGUUUUGUUAACUCCUUCAAUCUUGCAAUGCUUGUAUGUACUGACUCAGAAUGACCACUCAGGUUCGUACAACACAUUCCCUCAAAGUCCUGACAGCCAUG
This 728-nucleotide long non-coding RNA is filed under the name Apteryx haastii (Great spotted kiwi). Its description in RNAcentral is "lncRNA (ENSAHAG00000005758.1)". Lineage: Eukaryota; Metazoa; Chordata; Aves; Apterygiformes; Apterygidae. The record is from RNAcentral.